GGACUACUGGGGUUUCUAAUCCUGUUUGCUCCCCACGCUUUCGCGCCUCAGCGUCAGUUUCGGUCCAGAGAGCCGCCUUCGCCACCGGUGUUCUUCCCAAUAUCUACGAAUUUCACCUCUACACUGGGAAUUCCACUCUCCUCUCCCGAACUCCAGCACACCAGUCCCAAGCGCAAUUCCCAGGUUGAGCCCGGGGCUUUCACGCCUGACUUGGUGCGCCGCCUACGCGCCCUUUACGCCCAGUAAUUCCGAACAACGCUAGCCCCCUUCGUAUUACCGCGGCUGCUGGCAC
This 292-nucleotide ribosomal RNA is filed under the name uncultured bacterium. RNAcentral describes it as "partial 16S ribosomal RNA". The record is from RNAcentral.